GAAUCUUCCGCAAUGGGCGAAAGCCUGACGGAGCGACACCGCGUGGAGGACGACGGCCUUUUGGCUGUAAACUCCUUUUCUGGGGGAAUAAAUGAUGAAGGUACCCCAGGAAUAAGCACCGGCUAACUCCGUGCCAGCAGCCGCGGUAAUACGUAGGGUGCAAGCGUUAUCCGGAAUCAUUGGGCGUAAAGCGUUCGUAGGUGGUUUAGAAAGUUUGUAGUUAAAUCUGGUCGCUCAACGAUCAACUCGCUACAAAAACUCCUAGACUAGAGAUUGGUAGAGGCAACUGGAAUUCCACAUGUAGGGGUAAAAUCCGUUGAUAUGUGGAGGAACACCAAAAGCGAAGGCAGGUUGCUGGGCCAUUUCUGACGCUGAGGAACGAAAGCGUGGGGAGCAAA
This 398-nucleotide ribosomal RNA is filed under the name uncultured bacterium. RNAcentral's name for it is "bacterial SSU rRNA". It matches the Rfam family "Bacterial small subunit ribosomal RNA", at positions 359 to 772 of the family's 1533-position model. The record is from RNAcentral.